CCUACGGGAGGCAGCAGUGGUGAAUAUUGCGCAAUGGGGGAAACCCUGACGCAGCAACGCCGCGUGCGGGAUGACGGCCUUCGGGUUGUAAACCGCUUUCAGCAGGGAAGAACAUCGACGGUACCUGCAGAAGAAGCCCCGGCUAACUACGUGCCAGCAGCCGCGGUAAUACGUAGGGGGAGAGCGUUAUCCGGAUUCAUUGGGCGUAAAGCGCGCGUAGGCGGGUGCCUAAGCGGGACCUCUAACCUCGGGGCUCAACCCCGAGCCGGGUCCCGAACUGGGCGCCUCGAGUGCGGUAGGGGAGG
This 305-nucleotide ribosomal RNA is filed under the name uncultured bacterium. RNAcentral's name for it is "bacterial SSU rRNA". It matches the Rfam family "Bacterial small subunit ribosomal RNA", at positions 338 to 660 of the family's 1533-position model. The record is from RNAcentral.